RNAcentral lists this long non-coding RNA (329 nucleotides) under Phoenix dactylifera (date palm). RNAcentral describes it as "long non-coding RNA (PDAC_LNC002901)". The record is from RNAcentral. Lineage: Eukaryota; Viridiplantae; Streptophyta; Magnoliopsida; Arecales; Arecaceae.
UGUUAAUUAAUUGCUUAUGAUUUAUACAUGCUAUGAGAUAGCUAUGAUGCAUAAUAGCUUAUUUUAGAUAUGUUAAAUAUAUAUUACAAUUAAAGAAUGUGCUAGAGACUAGUAAGCCCUCAAUAAAAAUUAUAUUAAGUCAUAGUGUUGAAAAACUUUGAGCUAACCCAUUCUAGAACAAUUAAUCUAAUUGGUGUCUAAGGAAAGCACUAAAGGUGGUUACUUAAUUAGGACCUUACUCUCUGAGUAAGGGGAGCCUCCCACCUGCUUACCUGGCCAAUUGUUUGAUUGCCUAUUAUGGAUAGCUUAAUAUUGAUAUAACACUAUUG